RNAcentral lists this ribosomal RNA (253 nucleotides) under uncultured bacterium. Its description in RNAcentral is "partial 16S ribosomal RNA". It matches the Rfam family "Bacterial small subunit ribosomal RNA", at positions 524 to 776 of the family's 1533-position model. The record is from RNAcentral.
UACGAAGGGGGCUAGCGUUGUUCGGAAUUACUGGGCGUAAAGCGUAUGCAGGCGGAUCGUUAAGUCGGGUGUGAAAUCUUGGAGCUUAACUCCGAAACUGCAUUCGAUACUGCCGUGCUUGAGGACUGGAGAGGAGACUGGAAUUCAUGGUGUAGCAGUGAAAUGCGUAGAGAUCAUGAGGAAGACCAGUGGCGAAGGCGGGUCUCUGGACAGUUCCUGACACUGAGGCACGAAGGCCAGGGGAGCAAACGGG